CCUACGGGGGGCUGCAGUGGGGAAUAUUGGACAAUGGGGGCAACCCUGAUCCAGCCAUGCCGCGUGAGUGAUGAAGGCCCUAGGGUUGUAAAGCUCUUUUGUGCGGGAAGAUAAUGACGGUACCGCAAGAAUAAGCCCCGGCUAACUUCGUGCCAGCAGCCGCGGUAAUACGAAGGGGGCUAGCGUUGCUCGGAAUCACUGGGCGUAAAGGGUGCGUAGGCGGGUCUUUAAGUCAGGGGUGAAAUCCUGGAGCUCAACUCCAGAACUGCCUUUGAUACUGAAGAUCUUGAGUUCGGGAGAGGUGAGUGGAACUGCGAGUGUAGAGGUGAAAUUCGUAGAUAUUCGCAAGAACACCAGUGGCGAAGGCGGCUCACUGGCCCGAUACUGACGCUGAGGCACGAAAGCGUGGGGAGCAAACAGGAUUAGAUACCCCAGUAGUCG
RNAcentral lists this ribosomal RNA (441 nucleotides) under uncultured Bradyrhizobiaceae bacterium. RNAcentral's name for it is "bacterial SSU rRNA". It matches the Rfam family "Bacterial small subunit ribosomal RNA", at positions 338 to 796 of the family's 1533-position model. The record is from RNAcentral. Lineage: Bacteria; Pseudomonadati; Pseudomonadota; Alphaproteobacteria; Hyphomicrobiales; Nitrobacteraceae.